AGAGUUUGAUCCUGGCUCAGAACGAACGCUGGCGGCGUGGAUAAGACAUGCAAGUCGAACGAGAGAAUUGCUAGCUUGCUAAUAAUUCUCUAGUGGCGCACGGGUGAGUAACACGUGAGUAACCUGCCCCCGAGAGCGGGAUAGCCCUGGGAAACUGGGAUUAAUACCGCAUAGUAUCGAAAGAUUAAAGCAGCAAUGCGCUUGGGGAUGGGCUCGCGGCCUAUUAGUUAGUUGGUGAGGUAACGGCUCACCAAGGCGAUGACGGGUAGCCGGUCUGAGAGGAUGUCCGGCCACACUGGAACUGAGACACGGUCCAGACACCUACGGGUGGCAGCAGUCGAGAAUCAUUCACAAUGGGGGAAACCCUGAUGGUGCGACGCCGCGUGGGGGAAUGAAGGUCUUCGGAUUGUAAACCCCUGUCAUGUGGGAGCAAAUUAAAAAGAUAGUACCACAAGAGGAAGAGACGGCUAACUCUGUGCCAGCAGCCGCGGUAAUACAGAGGUCUCAAGCGUUGUUCGGAAUCACUGGGCGUAAAGCGUGCGUAGGCUGUUUCGUAAGUCGUGUGUGAAAGGCGCGGGCUCAACCCGCGGACGGCACAUGAUACUGCGAGACUAGAGUAAUGGAGGGGGAACCGGAAUUCUCGGUGUAGCAGUGAAAUGCGUAGAUAUCGAGAGGAACACUCGUGGCGAAGGCGGGUUCCUGGACAUUAACUGACGCUGAGGCACGAAGGCCAGGGGAGCGAAAGGGAUUAGAUACCCCUGUAGUCCUGGCAGUAAACGGUGCACGCUUGGUGUGCGGGGAAUCGACCCCCUGCGUGCCGGAGCUAACGCGUUAAGCGUGCCGCCUGGGGAGUACGGUCGCAAGAUUAAAACUCAAAGAAAUUGACGGGGACCCGCACAAGCGGUGGAGUAUGUGGCUUAAUUCGAUGCAACGCGAAGAACCUUACCUGGGCUUGACAUGUAAUGAACAACAUGUGAAAGCAUGCGACUCUUCGGAGGCGUUACACAGGUGCUGCAUGGCCGUCGUCAGCUCGUGUCGUGAGAUGUUUGGUUAAGUCCAGCAACGAGCGCAACCCCUGUUGCCAGUUACCAGCACGUGAAGGUGGGGACUCUGGCGAGACUGCCCAGAUCAACUGGGAGGAAGGUGGGGACGACGUCAGGUCAGUAUGGCCCUUAUGCCCAGGGCUGCACACGUACUACAAUGCCCAGUACAGAGGGGGCCGAAGCCGCGAGGCGGAGGAAAUCCUAAAAACUGGGCCCAGUUCGGACUGUAGGCUGCAACCCGCCUACACGAAGCCGGAAUCGCUAGUAAUGGCGCACCAGCUACGGCGCCGUGAAUACGUUCCCGGGUCUUGCACACACCGCCCGUCA
Molecule: ribosomal RNA, 1370 nt
Filed under: uncultured bacterium
Lineage: Bacteria
Description: bacterial SSU rRNA
Rfam family: Bacterial small subunit ribosomal RNA
Source: RNAcentral